RNAcentral lists this ribosomal RNA (253 nucleotides) under uncultured bacterium. RNAcentral describes it as "partial 16S ribosomal RNA". It matches the Rfam family "Bacterial small subunit ribosomal RNA", at positions 524 to 776 of the family's 1533-position model. The record is from RNAcentral.
UACGUAGGGGGCAAGCGUUGUUCGGAUUCAUUGGGCGUAAAGGGUGCGUAGGUGGCGCUGUAAGUCGGGUGUGAAAUUUCGGAGCUCAACUCCGAAACUGCAUUCGAUACUGCGGUGCUUGAGGACUGGAGAGGAGACUGGAAUUCAUGGUGUAGCAGUGAAAUGCGUAGAGAUCAUGAGGAAGACCAGUGGCGAAGGCGGGUCUCUGGACAGUUCCUGACACUGAGGCACGAAGGCCAGGGGAGCAAACGGG